GUUGGACCUAAAUGUCCUAAUCCUUGUUUUGAUGAUUAAUAAACAAUUGGUGUGCUACUAAUUAUCUUCAAAGGUGUUUGUAUUGAGCUUGCAGGUUCCCUAUUGAAAUAAAUGAAAUUGCUUCAAUCACAAAAGUGAAAAGUGCCAAUUAUGGAAGCAUACCACAAGAAAGGGAUAAGAAAUUAUUUGUGUUUAUGCCUUGUUAAAUUCUAUUCAUUGUAAAUUUCAAGUAAUUGAUUGUGAUGGCUCAAGGGCUCUUUCAUUUCUAAAAGUUCUUUUAGAUAUGGCCACUUUUUAAAAGUACUUGACUUUCAGGGACCAAAAUGAAAUUUUCCAAAAGAAGUGAUUUUGAAAUUAUUUUUCAUCAAAAUGAANN
This 376-nucleotide long non-coding RNA is filed under the name Manihot esculenta (cassava). RNAcentral's name for it is "long non-coding RNA (MESC_LNC009244)". Lineage: Eukaryota; Viridiplantae; Streptophyta; Magnoliopsida; Malpighiales; Euphorbiaceae. The record is from RNAcentral.